RNAcentral lists this ribosomal RNA (313 nucleotides) under uncultured bacterium. RNAcentral's name for it is "bacterial SSU rRNA". It matches the Rfam family "Bacterial small subunit ribosomal RNA", at positions 202 to 507 of the family's 1533-position model. The record is from RNAcentral.
AUCGCAAGACCUCGCGCAUUGGAGCGGCCGAUAUCAGAUUAGGUAGUUGGUGGGGUAAAAGCCUACCAAGCCUUCGAUCUGUAGCUGGUCCUGAGAGGACGACCAGCCACACUGGAACUGAGACACGGUCCAGACUCCUACGGGAGGCAGCAGUGGGGAAUUUUGGACAAUGGGCGCAAGCCUGAUCCAGCAAUGCCGCGUGCAGGAUGAAGGCCUUCGGGUUGUAAACUGCUUUUGUACGGAACGAAACGGCUCUUUCUAAUAAAGGGAGCUAAUGACGGUACCGUAAGAAUAAGCACCGGCUAACUACGUG